AGUGAACGCUGGCGGUAGGCUUAACACAUGCAAGUCGAACGGCAGCACAGUAAGUGCUUGCUCUUACGGGUUGCGAGUGGCGUACGUGUGACGUAUACAUCGGAAUCUACUCUUUCGUGUGGGAUAACGUAGGUAAACUUACGCUCAUACCGCAUCCCACCUACCGUUGUAAGCAGUGGAUCUUCUGACCUUGUGCGAUUGAAUGCGCCGAUGUCGGAUUAGUUAGUUGGGGGGGUAAUUGCCCACCCAGGGGACGAUCCGUAGAUGGUCUGAGAGAAUGAUCGGCCACAUGAGAACUGAGACACGGACAAGACUACUACGGGAGGCAGCAGUGGGGAAUAUUGGACAAAAGGCGCGAGCAUGAUCCAGCGAGAGCGCGUGGGUGAAGGAGGCCUUCGGGUUGUAAAGCCCUUUUGUUGGGAAAGAAAAGCAGCAGGUUAAUACCCCGCUGUUCUGACGGUACCCAAAGAAUAAGCACCGGCUAACUUCGUG
This 492-nucleotide ribosomal RNA is filed under the name uncultured bacterium. Its description in RNAcentral is "partial 16S ribosomal RNA". It matches the Rfam family "Bacterial small subunit ribosomal RNA", at positions 29 to 507 of the family's 1533-position model. The record is from RNAcentral.